ACUCCUACGGGAGGCAGCAGUGGGGAAUAUUGCACAAUGGGCGCAAGCCUGAUGCAGCGACGCCGCGUGGGGGAUGACGGCCUUCGGGUUGUAAACCUCUUUCAGUAGGGACGAAGCGCAAGUGACGGUACCUACAGAAGAAGGACCGGCCAACUACGUGCCAGCAGCCGCGGUAAU
RNAcentral lists this ribosomal RNA (177 nucleotides) under uncultured bacterium. Its description in RNAcentral is "partial 16S ribosomal RNA". It matches the Rfam family "Bacterial small subunit ribosomal RNA", at positions 335 to 524 of the family's 1533-position model. The record is from RNAcentral.